UACGUAGGUGGCAAGCGUUGUCCGGAUUUAUUGGGUUUAAAGGGUGCGUAGGCGGCCCUGUAAGUCAGUGGUGAAAUGCUCUAGCUUAACUAGAGAGGUGCCAAUGAUACUGCAGGGCUUGAGUACAGAUGAGGUAGGCGGAAUUGACGGUGUAGCGGUGAAAUGCAUAGAUAUCAGGAGGAACACCGGUGGCGAAGGCGGGUCUCUGGGCAGUAACUGACGCUGAGGAGCGAAAGCGUGGGGAGCGAACAGG
RNAcentral lists this ribosomal RNA (253 nucleotides) under uncultured bacterium. RNAcentral's name for it is "partial 16S ribosomal RNA". It matches the Rfam family "Bacterial small subunit ribosomal RNA", at positions 524 to 776 of the family's 1533-position model. The record is from RNAcentral.